Molecule: ribosomal RNA, 459 nt
Filed under: uncultured bacterium
Lineage: Bacteria
Description: partial 16S ribosomal RNA
Rfam family: Bacterial small subunit ribosomal RNA
Source: RNAcentral
CCUACGGGAGGCAGCAGUGAGGAAUAUUGGUCAAUGGACGCGAGUCUGAACCAGCCAAGUCGCGUGCAGGAAGACGGCCCUAUGGGUUGUAAACUGCUUUUGUCCGAGGGCAAACGCAGCUACGCGUGUCUGUCUGAAAGUAUCCUACGAAAAAGCAUCGGCUAACUCCGUGCCAGCAGCCGCGGUAAUACGGAGGAUUCGAGCGUUAUCCGGAUUUAUUGGGUUUAAAGGGUGCGCAGGCGGAAGAUUAAGUCAGCGGUAAAAUUGAGAGGCUCAACCUCGUCGAGCCGUUGAAACUGGUUUUCUUGAGUGAGCGAGAAGUAUGCGGAAUGCGUGGUGUAGCGGUGAAAUGCAUAGAUAUCACGCAGAACUCCGAUUGCGAAGGCAGCAUACCGGCGCUCAACUGACGCUGAUGCACGAAAGUGUGGGUAUCGAACAGGAUUAGAUACCCCAGUAGUC